RNAcentral lists this ribosomal RNA (473 nucleotides) under uncultured bacterium. RNAcentral describes it as "bacterial SSU rRNA". It matches the Rfam family "Bacterial small subunit ribosomal RNA", at positions 28 to 507 of the family's 1533-position model. The record is from RNAcentral.
GAUGAACGCUGGCGGCGUGCCUCAAACAUGCAAGUCGAGCGGGGCUAUGUAAUAUCGCAAGGUAGAACAUAGCCUAGCGGCGAACGGGUGAGUAACACGUGGGUAACCUGCCUGGAAGACAGGGAUAACGAUUCGAAAGGGUCGCUAAUACCUGAUAAUAUCCUUUCAUCGCAUGGUGAUAGGAAGAAAGGGGAAACCCGCUUUCAGAUGGGCCCGCGUCCCAUCAGCUAGUUGGUAAGGUAAAGGCUUACCAAGGCGACGACGGGUAGCCGGUCUGAGAGGAUGUACGGCCACACUGGGACUGAGAUACGGCCCAGACUCCUACGGGAGGCAGCAGUUGGGAAUCUUAGGCAAUGGACGAAAGUCUGACCUAGCGACGCCGCGUGAGGGAAGAAGGCCUUGGGUUGUAAACCUCUGUCAUGGGGAAGAAGUAAGUGACGGUACCCCAAGAGGAAGCCCCUGCUAACUACGUG